UACAGAGGUCUCAAGCGUUGUUCGGAUUCAUUGGGCGUAAAGGGUGCGUAGGUGGCGCGCUAAGUCAGGUGUGAAAUUUCGGGGCUCAACCCCGAAACUGCAUUUGAUACUGGCGUGCUUGAGGACUGGAGAGGAGACUGGAAUUCACGGUGUAGCAGUGAAAUGCGUAGAUAUCGUGAGGAAGACCAGUGGCGAAGGCGGGUCUCUGGGCCGAUAUUGACGCUGAGGAGCGAAAGCGUGGGGAGCAAACAGG
Molecule: ribosomal RNA, 253 nt
Filed under: uncultured bacterium
Lineage: Bacteria
Description: partial 16S ribosomal RNA
Rfam family: Bacterial small subunit ribosomal RNA
Source: RNAcentral